CCUACGGGAGGCAGCAGUGAGGAAUAUUGGUCAAUGGGCGCGAGCCUGAACCAGCCAAGUAGCGUGAAGGAUGACUGCCCUACGGGUUGUAAACUUCUUUUAUAAAGGAAUAAAGUGAGGCACGUGUGCCUUUUUGUAUGUACUUUAUGAAUAAGGAUCGGCUAACUCCGUGCCAGCAGCCGCGGUAAUACGGAGGAUCCGAGCGUUAUCCGGAUUUAUUGGGUUUAAAGGGAGCGUAGAUGGGUUGUUAAGUCAGUUGUGAAAGUUUGCGGCUCAACCGUAAAAUUGCAAUUGAUACUGGCAGUCUUGAGUACAGUUGAGGUAGGCGGAAUUCGUGGUGUAGCGGUGAAAUGCUUAGAUAUCACGAAGAACUCCGAUUGCGAAGGCGACCUGCUAGAACAUAACUGACGCUGAUGCGCGAAAGCGUGGGGAGCAAACAGGAUUAGAUACCCUAGUAGUC
Molecule: ribosomal RNA, 460 nt
Filed under: uncultured bacterium
Lineage: Bacteria
Description: partial 16S ribosomal RNA
Rfam family: Bacterial small subunit ribosomal RNA
Source: RNAcentral